UCCAGACUCCUACGGGAGGCAGCAGUGGGGAAUAUUGCACAAUGGGGGGAACCCUGAUGCAGCGACGCCGCGUGAGGGAAGAAGGUUUUUGGAUUGUAAACCUCUGUCCUUGGUAAAGAAGCAAGACGGUAGCCAAGGAGGAAGCCACGGCUAACUACGUGCCAGCAGCCGCGGUAAUACGUAGGUGGCAAGCGUUGUCCGGAAUUACUGGGUGUAAAGGGAGCGUAGACGGAAAGGCAAGUCAGAAGUGAAAGCCCAAGGCUCAACCAUGGGACUGCUUUUGAAACUGUCAAACUAGAGUACGGGAGAGGUAAGAGGAAUUCCUAGUGUAGCGGUGAAAUGCGUAGAUAUUAGGAGGAACACCAGUGGCGAAGGCGUCUUACUGGACCGAAACUGACGUUGAGGCUCGAAAGCGUGGGGAGCAAACAGGAUUAGAUACCCUCGUACG
RNAcentral lists this ribosomal RNA (448 nucleotides) under uncultured bacterium. Its description in RNAcentral is "partial 16S ribosomal RNA". It matches the Rfam family "Bacterial small subunit ribosomal RNA", at positions 330 to 793 of the family's 1533-position model. The record is from RNAcentral.